GAUGAAGAACGCAGCGAAAUGCGAUAAGUAGUGUGAAUUACAGAAUUCAGUGAAUCAUCGAAUCUUUGAACGCACAUUGCGCCCUUUGGUAUUCCUUAGGGCAUGCCUGUUCGAGCGUCAUUUAAACCUUCAAGCUCAGCUUGGUGUUGGGUGACUGUCCGCUUCACCGCGGACUCGCCUCAAAAUUAUUGGCGGCCGGUACAUUGGCUUCGAGCGCAGCAGAAACGCGAACUCGGGCCCGUCGUAUUGGCUCCCAGAAGCUAUCUUCACAAUUUUGACCUCGGAUCAGGUAGGGAUACCCGCUGAACUUAAGCAUAUCAAUAAGCGGAGGA
This 332-nucleotide unclassified non-coding RNA is filed under the name soil metagenome. Its description in RNAcentral is "partial contains 5.8S ribosomal RNA, internal transcribed spacer 2, and large subunit ribosomal RNA". The stretch from base 1 to 120 matches the Rfam family "5.8S ribosomal RNA", at positions 35 to 154 of the family's 154-position model. The record is from RNAcentral.